UCUGAACCACUGAACAACGGUUAAGCUAAGCCGAGCAACGGUCAACUGGGAGUAUUCGACUCGCGCAAUCGGUCCCCGCGGUACGAUUGGCUUCCCGUCGCCAUUAUCGACAGGGCUGGUCAACAUACAUUUGUAAAUAUUCUCCGGUCAUGGAUGAACUCAGAAUUCGGAGAAUAUACCGGGUUAGAUUAUUUUCAUGUCAUUGAGUACUGUUAGUACUAACGAUAGGUAUGCCUAUAAAAUAUUGCCACUGAGAUAUCGCGAAUCCAAUAAAUCGCAAAGAAAUAAAAUCGCGUGACAAAAAUAUCGUUCCUAUAUUAUUGA
This is a non-coding RNA of Cinara cedri, 324 nucleotides long. The record is from the annotation of a GenBank genome assembly. Lineage: Eukaryota; Metazoa; Arthropoda; Insecta; Hemiptera; Aphididae.